This 618-nucleotide ribosomal RNA is filed under the name uncultured bacterium. Its description in RNAcentral is "bacterial SSU rRNA". It matches the Rfam family "Bacterial small subunit ribosomal RNA", at positions 566 to 1182 of the family's 1533-position model. The record is from RNAcentral.
CGCGCGCAGGCGGUCCUUUAAGUCUGAUGUGAAAGCCCACGGCUCAACCGUGGAGGGUCAUUGGAAACUGGGGGACUUGAGUGCAGAAGAGGAGAGCGGAAUUCCACGUGUAGCGGUGAAAUGCGUAGAUAUGUGGAGGAACACCAGUGGCGAAGGCGGCUCUCUGGUCUGUAACUGACGCUGAGGCGCGAAAGCGUGGGGAGCGAACAGGAUUAGAUACCCUGGUAGUCCACGCUGUAAACGAUGAGUGCUAAGUGUUAGAGGGUUUCCGCCCUUUAGUGCUGCAGCAAACGCAUUAAGCACUCCGCCUGGGGAGUACGGCCGCAAGGCUGAAACUCAAAGGAAUUGACGGGGGCCCGCACAAGCGGUGGAGCAUGUGGUUUAAUUCGAAGCAACGCGAAGAACCUUACCAGGUCUUGACAUCCUCCUGACCGUCCUAGAGAUAGGGCUUUCCCUUCGGGGACAGGAGUGACAGGUGGUGCAUGGUUGUCGUCAGCUCGUGUCGUGAGAUGUUGGGUUAAGUCCCGCAACGAGCGCAACCCUUGAUCUUAGUUGCCAGCAUUCAGUUGGGCACUCUAAGGUGACUGCCGGUGACAAACCGGAGGAAGGUGGGGAUGA